Molecule: ribosomal RNA, 500 nt
Filed under: uncultured bacterium
Lineage: Bacteria
Description: partial 16S ribosomal RNA
Rfam family: Bacterial small subunit ribosomal RNA
Source: RNAcentral
AAUCAACGCUGGCGGCGUGCCUAACACAUGCAAGUCGAACGCGAAAGCCCCGCAAGGGGUAAGUAGAGUGGCAAACGGGUGAGUAACACGUGGGUGACCUGCCUUCGAGUGGGGGAUAACGUCCCGACAGGGACGCUAAUACCGCAUGACAUCCUGCUUUUGAAAAAGCGGAGAUCAAAGCUGGGGAUCGCAAGACCUAGCGCUUGAAGAGGGGCCCGCGGCUGAUUAGCUAGUUGGUAAGGUAACGGCUCACCAAGGCGACGAUCAGUAUCCGGCCUGAGAAGGCUGACCGGCACACUGGGACUGGGACACGGCCCAGUAUCCUACGGGAGGCAGCAGUGGGGAAUUGUUCGCAAUGGGCGCAAGCCUGACGACGCAACGCCGGGUGGAGGACGAAGAGCUUCGGGUCGUAAACUCCUGUCGGGCGGGACGAACGCUUCGCGGAUGAAUAAUCCGCGGAAUUGACGGUACCGCUAAAGGAAGCCCCGGCUAACUCCGUG